RNAcentral lists this long non-coding RNA (556 nucleotides) under Androctonus crassicauda. The record is from RNAcentral. Lineage: Eukaryota; Metazoa; Arthropoda; Arachnida; Scorpiones; Buthidae.
GUUAUUGUCAGUUUGUUCUGUUGUGCCUAUGCCUUGGUAGUUUUUAUGAGGUUUUCUUUGUAGGUAGUUUGAUUACUUUUUUGUUCUUGCUUUUUCUUCCCAUCACUUCCCUUACAUAUUGCCACCUGUAUUUUUGUUUAAUGCUGUCAUUUUCUUGCAUAUUGAGUAGCAGGUCUAUUAUCAGUAUGUCGUCUAUUGGUUUCGUUCUUACCUUAGUAGCGCAUGCUGGUCCUUUUUGUAGUAGGUCUUUUACUGACUGUGGGAGUGUUAUGUCUCCUAUAACCAUUACUACAUCUUCUAGUUGUAGGCUUAUGGGUAAUUUAGUGACUCUUUGUUUUUUUAACAACCAUUUCAGCUUUUUGACAUGCUGGUAUUUGCUUUUCUUUCUAUCAUACUCUGCUUUGUUUUCAUAGUGUUCUAUUUGGAGUAAUGGGAUGCCAUUUUUACUUAAGUCCAACUUUAGCUCUUCUACUUUUUUGUUUAGGAUAUGAUACCUAUUUUUUUUUGCGUCUUUGGUGGCUGUAUUUAGACAGAUCUUCUUUGUGUUGUUUAGUAC